Non-coding RNA from Arachis ipaensis, 3431 nucleotides. The record is from RefSeq and is a predicted model, not a curated record. NCBI's taxonomy places the organism in Eukaryota, Viridiplantae, Streptophyta, Magnoliopsida, Fabales, Fabaceae.
CUUCUAGUAGAUCACAGCUGUGUCUUGAUUAUAUCCUAUUACCAUCUCUACCUCCCAUUCAUUUAAUGAAAAUUAAUUCUCACCUACCGUUUCACCGCAUGGGUGCCACUAAAUCAAGAUGACCCACUAUAUAUAUAAUGAGUAGCUGCAGAUACUUGUAAUUAUAAUCACUUUGAAAAAAUCCUUUUAUUUUCUUCGAAAAUGAAAUUUCAGAAUCAAUCAUGUAUUGUUGAAUGCGAUAUCACUAAAGAUGUUGAAAAAACUCGCUCAAGGCUGGCUUGAACACAGUUUUUGGGGAAAAGCUUGCAUGCAUCAGAUUGGCCCAGCAAAAAAAAAUGGUGGGGAAAAAGAUCACCGAAACUUAAUUGAGCUUUGUUUGGGUGAAAAUGCGGCUCAAAAGAUAAAAAUAAAUUGUGGUCUUGGAGGUUCAAUGCUACUUGUAUUCGUGUUGGACAGGUUGUUUUCCCUUUUCUAUGAAAGUUGAUUUUUCUUAAUUUCAUCUAUCUCUUCUAUGAUGCUCAUAAUAGUAAUUUUGAUAUUUUUGUUAUGGCUGUUCUCCUUGUUGAGCGUUGAUUUGAGCAUAGAUGCUGCUCAGGAGAUGAAAAGGGAUUCUGAACUUCAAUAAGAGAUUUUGAUAUCUAAUGCCAGUUGUGUUCGCUCUGAACAGAUCUGUGGAGCUCUGAUGCUGUUGGAGACGUGUUAUUCCUUUUUUCAAGUUAUGUUAAGUUUCCUUUUCUCUCUCUCUCUUUUAUGAUGCUGUUUUAUGAUGCUGUUGGUAUUCUUAUGUUAAUUUAAGUGAGGAUCUUGCUGAUUAAAUGAAAAUAAGAGAUCAGAUUUGGAUUUCUAAUUCUACUUGUCAAUUGGUUUUUAAAAAUGUGUUUUCCAUUUAUAUUAUUUUAUCAAUUGAAAAUGAUAUAAAGCACAGAGGCAGAAACGAAGAAUCCUUCUAAUGUAAGGCUUGCCAAAAUUUGUUGGUAUAGAGAAAGACAACUAUGAUAUGGUCCCAUGAUAUAAAGUUUUAACAUGUAUGCAAUAUAGUUAUGCAGAGGUUUAAAUUAAAUAGCCAUCAUCUUUUAUAUUUUAAAGUAACUCUUGAAGAAUGAGUAGCCAUCAUCUUUUAUAUUUUAAAGUAACUCUUGAAGAAUUAGUUGUUAGCGCAAUGUAUCUUCUCUCUUGUUUUCCAUAAAUUAUCCGUGUGUUUGAUCAUCGUUGCUCUAAAUUGUUGUGCAGCUUAGGAAGUUACCAAACCAACUAUACUCAAGAUCUGCGAAAUGUAUUGUUUGUAGUGUCAGUGCGAGGAUGGCUUUGUCUUUUACAUGUGAAACACAGCUUGAACCGGAAAAUAAUUCAGGGGCAUAUAUACAGCAAGAUGCAGAAUAAGGAAAAAGGAUACACCCUAUUGUACACUUCGAUAUAAGCAUUCAUGACCAUGGAGACAUUUUGUGCAUAGUCAACUUCAGAUAUAAUUUGUGGCUCAACCACCUCGAGGUGCUCUAAAUGUGUAAAUGCGUUGACUGUUGAAACCAUCAUAAUUUAGAAACCCGAUGAAUUUACUUCCAAAUGCGUGUGAACAAAAUAAACAUGAAAUUGGAUUUAUGGGUGAUAGUGUAUGUAAAAGCCAAUGCUGCAGCAUCCUUGGCUAUGCAAUAUAAUGUAUCGUCUUUGUCAGCUAACCUUUUUUAUUGUAUCAACUUGAUCGGUUAUGCCAUUUGAAACUUUCAAAGAUUAUGCCAUUCAAAUGACUAUCCUUUUUGCAAGUACUUUACUCUUGGUUUGACACUCCUUCUGAAAUAUUUCUAAUUUCAUUAUAAAGCUUUACCCCUGAUUUGACCCUCAUUCUGAAACAUUUCUACUUUCAUUAUAAAACUUUUAGGGUUUAUGCGUAUAACAUACGAUAGCUGUACCCAUAUUCUAUCUGAAAAAAAAAUAUUUAUAUUUCUUGUCACUUAGUCGAGCAAUUAGUAGAUAUAUUAUUUUAUUCAAGUUAUCCAAUUUCUUUAUGCCUUUAGAUCCUUUGCUUUUUCGUUUCUACUUAUUAGUGAAACCUGUUGAACUAUCUCUAAAAAUCAUAUAUGGGGUCUUUCAUCAUUGUAAUUGUCGAGAAGAAUUUUUUAACUUAAUCUGUAUAAGGAUCCAUCAACUUUAUCUUACUGAAUGAGGAUCAUAUCUUAUUUGAAAGACAUCCCUUUAUGGACCUUGUCAUAAAAAGAUGUUAAAAACCAAUAUAAUCUUCUAUUUCAUUUACGUAGCAUUUUUUAUUAUUAAAAUUUUUUUCAGCACAAUAAUAAGCCAUAUCUAAAGAAUGGAGUUUAAUUAAUAGUUUCUAUUACUUUUUCAUAAAUUGAAUUCCCAUUCAAAAACCAAUCUGCUUUUCUAUGUUAUUUACCUUGCAAUUUGAGAAACACAUUUUAGAUAUGGCUUUAGAUAUAGCUUCUCCAAGGUUGAAAAUCAUUUUGCACCAUAAUUAUACAUGGUUAAAGAAUGAAGUUUAAUUAAUAGUUUUUUGUCCUUUGUACACCAUUCUAUAACUCGCGUUAACUAUUAUGAAUAGGCUUCCCAAGCAUCACACAAAUGAGAAAUAAACUCUAAAGAAAAGUGAUAUUUUGGAUUACUUGACUAUAUCAAUAGUCGUCGUCAAUAUGUAAAUAGUCCUUGUAAAUUAGAAACUCCCAUUUAGGAGGUUAGUUGUAUUUAAUAUAAUGUCAAAUUUGUGUUAACUUAUAAUCCAUCACGUAAAAAAUAAGUUCUAACAUCAAUUUCUCUGUGUUCCAAUUUUGUAAGGUAUUACUCAUCAUGGAUUAUGUUUAAGACAUAUAUUUUCAUACACCAUAACAUAAUAUUAUAAAUCAUAUAUAAUAUAAGUCUCAUUCAAAAUAUAUUCACGAUAAUACAUUGUUUUUUGGAUAUCAUUGCACAUAAGCAAGUCUUCUGAUCCCCAAACAUAGAACAUCUUCCAAAACAAAUAGUCUAUGGUUAAACAAAUACAAUCAAUAUUAAAUAGCUUUGUCAACUUUAGUUAAUACUUAAUUAUCCGCCUCAGAUGUUUGAGACUUUAGUUUUUUCCCUCCCUUUCGGGUGAACCUAUUUGUUGAAAGCUGGCAUUCUUCAUCAACAACCGAACCAUACUUCAAACUGCCGGCAAUUCUUUUAGCUGGUGUUUUGUAUUUGAGACUUUCAACACAGUCUUCCAUAGAAUCCUACACAAAGACAUGCAUAACAGUUCAUUUAGAAUAAUUUCAGAACCUAAAUCACGUUUUUUUAUAUAUUCAAAACACGUGCAUAUACUUACCACAGUAAGCUGAGGAUCAUUAUCAUUCUUAAGAUUAACAACAUGUCCGGACAUCUCCAGCGUGUUGCUACCUCUAUUCUCCUAUUUAAAGUGAAACCCUACUCGUAAUUAGAUAUUAAUGUACAUUUUGAUAAAAAAAAAA